This 253-nucleotide ribosomal RNA is filed under the name uncultured bacterium. RNAcentral's name for it is "partial 16S ribosomal RNA". It matches the Rfam family "Bacterial small subunit ribosomal RNA", at positions 524 to 776 of the family's 1533-position model. The record is from RNAcentral.
UACAGAGGGUGCGAGCGUUGUCCGGAAUCACUGGGCGUAAAGGGCGCGUAGGUGGCGCUGCAAGUCGGUGGUGAAAGCUCGUCGCUUAACGACGAGUCGGCCAUCGAAACUGCAGGGCUUGAGCACUGUAGGGGCUAAUGGAAUUCCGGGUGUAGCGGUGGAAUGCGUAGAGAUCCGGAAGAACACAAGUGGCGAAGGCGGUUAGCUGGGCAGUUGCUGACACUGAUGCGCGACAGCGUGGGGAGCAAACAGG